UCUUGUAAAUAGCGAGCUUAGUUCUGGU
RNAcentral lists this small RNA (28 nucleotides) under Bombyx mori (domestic silkworm). RNAcentral describes it as "ovarian small RNA-30214". The record is from RNAcentral. Lineage: Eukaryota; Metazoa; Arthropoda; Insecta; Lepidoptera; Bombycidae.